Molecule: ribosomal RNA, 270 nt
Filed under: Escherichia coli
Lineage: Bacteria; Pseudomonadati; Pseudomonadota; Gammaproteobacteria; Enterobacterales; Enterobacteriaceae
Also listed under: 1 other name
Description: partial 23S ribosomal RNA
Rfam family: Bacterial large subunit ribosomal RNA
Source: RNAcentral
GGGUUGUGAGGUUAAGCGACUAAGCGUACACGGUGGAUGCCCUGGCAGUCAGAGGCGAUGAAGGACGUGCUAAUCUGCGAUAAGCGUCGGUAAGGUGAUAUGAACCGUUAUAACCGGCGAUUUCCGAAUGGGGAAACCCAGUGUGUUUCGACACACUAUCAUUAACUGAAUCCAUAGGUUAAUGAGGCGAACCGGGGGAACUGAAACAUCUAAGUACCCCGAGGAAAAGAAAUCAACCGAGAUUCCCCCAGUAGCGGCGAGCGAACGGGG